UAGGGAAUAUUGCGCAAUGGGGGAAACCCUGACGCAGCGACGCCGCGUGAGUGAUGAAGGCCUUAGGGUCGUAAAGCUCUGUUGAAUGGGAAGAAAAAAAUGACGGUACCAUUCGAGAAAGGACCGGCUAACUUCGUGCCAGCAGCCGCGGUAAUACGAGGGGUCCUAGCGUUGUUCGGAAUCAUUGGGCGUAAAGGGUGCGUAGGCUGCCAUUCAAGUCAGUUGUGAAAUCCCCGGGCUCAACCCGGGAAGUGCUUCUGAUACUGUUUGGCUUGAGUACUGGAGAGGGUAGUAGAAUUCCAGGUGUAGUGGUGAAAUACGUAGAUAUCUGGAGGAAUACCGGUGGCGAAGGCGGCUACCUGGCCAUGUACUGACGCUGAAGCACGAAAGCGUGGGGAGCAAACAGG
RNAcentral lists this ribosomal RNA (407 nucleotides) under uncultured bacterium. RNAcentral describes it as "bacterial SSU rRNA". It matches the Rfam family "Bacterial small subunit ribosomal RNA", at positions 355 to 776 of the family's 1533-position model. The record is from RNAcentral.